AACGAGCGCAACCCUACUUGCUAGUUACCAUCAUUAAGUUGGGGACGUCUAGCGAGACUGCCAGUGAUAAACUGGAGGAAGGUGGGGGAUGACGUCAAAUCAUCAUGCCCCUUAUGACCUGGGCUACAAACGUGAUACAAUGGCUGGAACAAAGGGAUGCGAAGCAGUGAUGUGGAGCGAAACCCAUAAAAACAGUCUCAGUUCGGAUUGAAGUCUGCAACUCGACUUCAUGAAGUCGGAAUCGCUAGUAAUCGCGGAUCAGAACGCCGCGGUGAAUACGUUCUCGGGGUUU
Molecule: ribosomal RNA, 292 nt
Filed under: uncultured Acholeplasma sp.
Lineage: Bacteria; Bacillati; Mycoplasmatota; Mollicutes; Acholeplasmatales; Acholeplasmataceae
Description: partial 16S ribosomal RNA
Rfam family: Bacterial small subunit ribosomal RNA
Source: RNAcentral